Molecule: ribosomal RNA, 1351 nt
Filed under: Crystallibacter crystallopoietes
Lineage: Bacteria; Bacillati; Actinomycetota; Actinomycetes; Micrococcales; Micrococcaceae
Description: bacterial SSU rRNA
Rfam family: Bacterial small subunit ribosomal RNA
Source: RNAcentral
CCGGUGCUUGCACCGGGGAUUAGUGGCGAACGGGUGAGUAACACGUGAGUAACCUGCCCUUGACUCUGGGAUAAGCCUGGGAAACCGGGUCUAAUACCGGAUACGACCUGUCACCGCAUGGUGGUGGGUGGAAAGAUUUAUUGGUUUUGGAUGGACUCGCGGCCUAUCAGCUUGUUGGUGAGGUAAUGGCUCACCAAGGCGACGACGGGUAGCCGGCCUGAGAGGGUGACCGGCCACACUGGGACUGAGACACGGCCCAGACUCCUACGGGAGGCAGCAGUGGGGAAUAUUGCACAAUGGGCGAAAGCCUGAUGCAGCGACGCCGCGUGAGGGAUGACGGCCUUCGGGUUGUAAACCUCUUUCAGCAGGGAAGAAGCGAAAGUGACGGUACCUGCAGAAGAAGCGCCGGCUAACUACGUGCCAGCAGCCGCGGUAAUACGUAGGGCGCAAGCGUUGUCCGGAAUUAUUGGGCGUAAAGAGCUCGUAGGCGGUUUGUCGCGUCUGCUGUGAAAGCCCGGGGCUCAACCCCGGGUCUGCAGUGGGUACGGGCAGACUAGAGUGCAGUAGGGGAGACUGGAAUUCCUGGUGUAGCGGUGAAAUGCGCAGAUAUCAGGAGGAACACCGAUGGCGAAGGCAGGUCUCUGGGCUGUAACUGACGCUGAGGAGCGAAAGCAUGGGGAGCGAACAGGAUUAGAUACCCUGGUAGUCCAUGCCGUAAACGUUGGGCACUAGGUGUGGGGGACAUUCCACGUUUUCCGCGCCGUAGCUAACGCAUUAAGUGCCCCGCCUGGGGAGUACGGCCGCAAGGCUAAAACUCAAAGGAAUUGACGGGGGCCCGCACAAGCGGCGGAGCAUGCGGAUUAAUUCGAUGCAACGCGAAGAACCUUACCAAGGCUUGACAUGGACCGGACCGCCGCAGAAAUGCGGUUUCCCUUCGGGGCCGGUUUACAGGUGGUGCAUGGGUUGUCGUCAGCUCGUGUCGUGAGAUGUUGGGUUAAGUCCCGCAACGAGCGCAACCCUCGUUCUAUGUUGCCAGCGCGUUAUGGCGGGGACUCAUAGGAGACUGCCGGGGUCAACUCGGAGGAAGGUGGGGACGACGUCAAAUCAUCAUGCCCCUUAUGUCUUGGGCUUCACGCAUGCUACAAUGGCCGGUACAAAGGGUUGCGAUACUGUGAGGUGGAGCUAAUCCCAAAAAGCCGGUCUCAGUUCGGAUUGAGGUCUGCAACUCGACCUCAUGAAGUCGGAGUCGCUAGUAAUCGCAGAUCAGCAACGCUGCGGUGAAUACGUUCCCGGGCCUUGUACACACCGCCCGUCAAGUCACGAAAGUUGGUAACACCCGAAGCCGGUGGCC